UACGUAGGGUGCAAGCGUUAAUCGGAAUUACUGGGCGUAAAGCGUGCGCAGGCGGCUUUGCAAGACAGAUGUGAAAUCCCCGGGCUCAACCUGGGAACUGCAUUUGUGACUGCAUGGCUAGAGUACGGUAGAGGGGGAUGGAAUUCCGCGUGUAGCAGUGAAAUGCGUAGAUAUGCGGAGGAACACCGAUGGCGAAGGCAAUCCCCUGGACCUGUACUGACGCUCAUGCACGAAAGGCGUGGGGAGCAAACGAGG
RNAcentral lists this ribosomal RNA (255 nucleotides) under uncultured bacterium. RNAcentral describes it as "partial 16S ribosomal RNA". It matches the Rfam family "Bacterial small subunit ribosomal RNA", at positions 524 to 777 of the family's 1533-position model. The record is from RNAcentral.